Molecule: ribosomal RNA, 1344 nt
Filed under: uncultured bacterium
Lineage: Bacteria
Description: bacterial SSU rRNA
Rfam family: Bacterial small subunit ribosomal RNA
Source: RNAcentral
GAUGAACGCUGGCGGCGUGCUUAACACAUGCAAGUCGAACGGAAAGGCUCCUGCUUGCAGGGGUACUCGAGUGGCGAACGGGUGAGUAACACGUGGGUGAUCUGCCCUGCACUUCGGGAUAAGCCUGGGAAACUGGGUCUAAUACCGGAUAGGACGAUGGUUUGGAUGCCAUUGUGGAAAGUUUUUCGGUGUGGGAUGAGCUCGCGGCCUAUCAGCUUGUUGGUGGGGUAAUGGCCUACCAAGGCGUCGACGGGUAGCCGGCCUGAGAGGGUGUACGGCCACAUUGGGACUGAGAUACGGCCCAGACUCCUACGGGAGGCAGCAGUGGGGAAUAUUGCACAAUGGGCGCAAGCCUGAUGCAGCGACGCCGCGUGGGGGAUGACGGCCUUCGGGUUGUAAACUCCUCUCGCUAGGGACGAAGCGUUAUGUGACGGUACCUGGAGAAGAAGCACCGGCUAACUACGUGCCAGCAGCCGCGGUAAUACGUAGGGUGCGAGCGUUGUCCGGAAUUACUGGGCGUAAAGAGCUCGUAGGUGGUUUGUCGCGUCGUUUGUGUAAGCCCGCAGCUUAACUGCGGGACUGCAGGCGAUACGGGCAUAACUUGAGUGCUGUAGGGGAGACUGGAAUUCCUGGUGUAGCGGUGGAAUGCGCAGAUAUCAGGAGGAACACCGAUGGCGAAGGCAGGUCUCUGGGCAGUAACUGACGCUGAGGAGCGAAAGCAUGGGUAGCGAACAGGAUUAGAUACCCUGGUGGUCCAUGCCGUAAACGGUGGGCGCUAGGUGUGAGUCCCUUCCACGGGGUUCGUGCCGUAGCUAACGCAUUAAGCGCCCCGCCUGGGGAGUACGGCCGCAAGGCUAAAACUCAAAGGAAUUGACGGGGGCCCGCACAAGCGGCGGAGCAUGUGGAUUAAUUCGAUGCAACGCGAAGAACCUUACCUGGGCUUGACAUACACCAGACCGGGCCAGAGAUGGUCUUUCCCUUUGUGGUUGGUGUACAGGUGGUGCAUGGUUGUCGUCAGCUCGUGUCGUGAGAUGUUGGGUUAAGUCCCGCAACGAGCGCAACCCUUGUCUUAUGUUGCCAGCACGUUAUGGUGGGGACUCGUGAGAGACUGCCGGGGUUAACUCGGAGGAAGGUGGGGAUGACGUCAAAUCAUCAUGCCCCUUAUGUCCAGGGCUUCACACAUGCUACAAUGGUCGGUACAACGCGUCUGCGAGCCUGUGAGGGUGAGCUAAUCGCUGUAAAGCCGGUCGUAGUUCGGAUUGGGGUCUGCAACUCGACCCCAUGAAGUCGGAGUCGCUAGUAAUCGCAGAUCAGCAACGCUGCGGUGAAUACGUUCCCGGGCCU